UGAUGCAACAAGAAGCCCCUGGGGAA
This 26-nucleotide non-coding RNA is filed under the name Homo sapiens (human). The record is from RNAcentral. Lineage: Eukaryota; Metazoa; Chordata; Mammalia; Primates; Hominidae.